RNAcentral lists this ribosomal RNA (1023 nucleotides) under Halomonas sp. RNAcentral describes it as "bacterial SSU rRNA". It matches the Rfam family "Bacterial small subunit ribosomal RNA", at positions 56 to 1072 of the family's 1533-position model. Lineage: Bacteria; Pseudomonadati; Pseudomonadota; Gammaproteobacteria; Oceanospirillales; Halomonadaceae. The record is from RNAcentral.
UGCAGUCGAGCGGAACGAUCCUAGCUUGCUAGGAGGCGUCGAGCGGCGGACGGGUGAGUAAUGCAUAGGAAUCUGCCCGGUAGUGGGGGAUAACCUGGGGAAACCCAGGCUAAUACCGCAUACGCCCUACGGGGGAAAGCAGGGGAUCUUCGGACCUUGCGCUAUCGGAUGAGCCUAUGUCGGAUUAGCUAGUUGGUGAGGUAACGGCUCACCAAGGCUGCGAUCCGUAGCUGGUCUGAGAGGAUGAUCAGCCACAUCGGGACUGAGACACGGCCCGAACUCCUACGGGAGGCAGCAGUGGGGAAUAUUGGACAAUGGGCGAAAGCCUGAUCCACCAUGCCCGCGUGUGUGAAGAAGGCCUUCGGGUUGUAAAGCACUUUCAGUGAGGAAGAAAGCCUUGGGGUUAAUACCCUCGAGGGAGGACAUCACUCACAGAAGAAGCACCGGCUAACUCCGUGCCAGCAGCCGCGGUAAUACGGAGGGUGCGAGCGUUAAUCGGAAUUACUGGGCGUAAAGCGCGCGUAGGCGGCUUGAUAAGCCGGUUGUGAAAGCCCCGGGCUCAACCUGGGAACGGCAUCCGGAACUGUCAGGCUAGAGUGCAGGAGAGGAAGGUAGAAUUCCCGGUGUAGCGGUGAAAUGCGUAGAGAUCGGGAGGAAUACCAGUGGCGAAGGCGGCCUUCUGGACUGACACUGACGCUAAGGUGCGAAAGCGUGGGUAGCAAACAGGAUUAGAUACCCUGGUAGUCCACGCCGUAAACGAUGUCGACUAGCCCUUGGGCUCCUUGAGAGCUUUGUGGCGCAGUUAACGCGAUAAGUCGACCGCCUGGGGAGUACGGCCGCAAGGUUAAAACUCAAAUGAAUUGACGGGGGCCCGCACAAGCGGUGGAGCAUGUGGUUUAAUUCGAUGCAACGCGAAGAACCUUACCUACCCUUGACAUCGAGAGAACUUUCCAGAGAUGGAUUGGUGCCUUCGGGAACUCUCAGACAGGUGCUGCAUGGCUGUCGUCAGCUCGUGUUGUGAAA